UCCACCUUGCGCAACUGGCGAAUCCUGGGGCUGCCGCCGGCAGUACCCGGCAGUGGGCAUUGACCACGAGGAAGCGCAAGGUCUCUGGCGUCAUGCACAACGACGCCUGCCGCUCGCCUGGGCAGCGAAU
Non-coding RNA from Ralstonia solanacearum, 130 nucleotides. The record is from Rfam. Lineage: Bacteria; Pseudomonadati; Pseudomonadota; Betaproteobacteria; Burkholderiales; Burkholderiaceae.